Molecule: long non-coding RNA, 208 nt
Filed under: Lathyrus oleraceus (garden pea)
Lineage: Eukaryota; Viridiplantae; Streptophyta; Magnoliopsida; Fabales; Fabaceae
Description: Pisum sativum (pea) long non-coding RNA (PSAT_LNC033609)
Source: RNAcentral
CUGAACCUAAUAUGCGGAAGCUCAAACAUUUGCCUUGGCUAAGGCCUAUGUGGUAUUCAAAACCACAUUCACUUCAAAAAAAAAAACUAGUGAGAUUCAACACAAACAAACAACUACACAUAAAUAAGAAAAAACUAGUGAGAUUCAAAACCACAUUCACUUCAAAAAAAAAAAAAAACUAACCACCUAAACUAACUUAUAACUAUCA